Molecule: long non-coding RNA, 934 nt
Filed under: Olea europaea subsp. europaea
Lineage: Eukaryota; Viridiplantae; Streptophyta; Magnoliopsida; Lamiales; Oleaceae
Source: RNAcentral
AAAUAAUCCAUUUAGAAGCUGAAAUCAUUCCUCCAAACAUACCCAAUAACUCAAACCCAUAAUCUCGCCCCCAUUUAUGCCCAAUUACUCCUGCCACAUUUACCCCUAUUACCCAGGUCACUAUUACAACUUUCAAACCAAAAAUUGAAAAAUUAAAACCCUAGAAUCUCCAUUACACACAAGAAAUCCUCAAAUCCUAUCUCAAUCCUUGUUUAUGGAAUGUCUAUAUCCACAAAAAUCGAUUUCGAGCACUAAUAUCUGGGCAUAUUGAUAUUCCUGCGCUGUUAUUUAAACCCGUGCGUGAACGAUUCACCAGAAAAGUUGAUGUCGCAAUGAGAGAUGAAUUGGUGAUGCAAAUAUUCCAUGUAUGGAUGCCGGAAGAGGAGACGUUUUGGAAGAGGAAACCUGACUUUCUGGAACCUUAUCUUUUCCUAGAUUUUAUGUAUUCAGUAGUUAUUCUCGAGAUAGCCAAGAAUGAAUAGUCGGCAGGAGUUUUUAGAUAUCAGUUUGUUUUGUAUGCAAAACCUUGUGGUUCUUUGGAGUGAUUCCAAGUUCCAUUUCCAUUGUUAAUCCCAUCAAUUGAAAUAAAUUUUUUUGCUUCAUUUUUUCCCGCUGCUUCAAUUGGCUUUUAUGCGUGAGUGAUUCCAUUGUGGAAAUCAUUCCAUCAGUCAAAGAAUUUUCAGGUGGCAGGACCUCGAGGUUAUGAUGGCUGAAAAAUGAUAGAUAUAUAUGUGAAUCUUCCAGCCCUCAAGACCUCGAGGUUAUGAUGGCUGAAAAAUGAUAGAUAUAUAUGUGAAUCUUCCAGCCCUCAAGAAAUUAGAUGCAAUGCUAAUUAGCAUCUUGGAUGGUUUUCGUGGCAUUAAGUUUUACUAUUUUGAGAGUGGGAUGGGUGUUGCUGAUGCGGAACACGUUGAAGCAAAUCCUUUGUUCCCCA